UUUUGUGGGUGGAAAACAAACCAACUCGAGUGUCGCUUUUUGUCGGACAACGCUUUUGAAUCACUGACCCCCAGUGAGCAGCGGCGAGAUGUUAUAAAGAAAAUGUUUGUAGAUUUGCUAAAGAUGAAUUAAUUUCAGGAAUAAUUACAUUCAAAGAGCAGAAAGCAUGGAGGUUAUCCGCGAUGGGGAGGGGGAGAGUGUUAAAUAUAAGCCCGGUGGUCGUUUGGACAUGAGCCACGGUUUUCUGAGGCACAUCAGGAGGAAUCAGAUCGCCAGGGAUGAUUAUGACAGAGAGGUGAAACAGGCCAAGGAGAAACAGAGGAGAAGACACACCAACACCCCACGCCGUCCCAGAAGACCUGACCGGCAGGUCUACAACCCGCGCAUUCGGAAUGGGUCGGAGCCGGGUGUGAACGCAGAAGCAGAGGACUGGAAUGAGAGCAGCUCAGGCACAGAGAUGGAGAACACUGGCACUGAGUUAUUCUGGCUGGAUUAUCAGGCGGACAACGGGAAAAUAACAUCAUUCAUCGUUCACAAGGAGGACAAACCUGAAGUUAUUGUGCAAAGAGUAGCAGAGAAGAACGUUCUGGAUUCGUCCAUGAGGGCGGCGCUGUUGGCUCGUGUGGGACAAGAAAUGAACAAGCGCUGUGACAAACGCUGAAAACAAGACGAAAGAGACGUGUUUAUUCAAGAGGGAAGAUGAUAAAGGCACUGACACACUGUUGAGACUCAACUGCAUUUCUUUAUGACGGCGCCAAGAAUUCAGAAAUGUCCUGCCGCAUAUCCUGAUAUGUGAAGGUGUAUCUCGUGAAAACUUUGAGGGACGAAAUAUGUAUAGUAAUAUACAGAAAACGGGAAUUGUUUCUGGACUGGAAACUGGUUCACACUCAAAGACUACGUUGAAUAAAUGUUAUGGAGUUAUGAAUCUGAAAGAGACAGUUCCCAGGCAGGUCAUCUAAGAUGUAGAUUCAUUCAGUAGAACGUUAAAGAUUAUGAGCUGAGUCUGUGGUAUAUUCAUAUAAUGGCAGUGAAUGGUGACAGGUUUUUAGAUUUAAAAGUUAACAUAUAAACGAGUCCAAAUCAACAGCCCAUGAACCUCUGAGGUCUACGUAUAGAUGUAGAUCACUUUUAUUCCUCAGUAAAAAAUAAGAGAAGUUUUGAGCUGAAUCUGGUAUAUUCAUAUAAUGGCAGUGAAUGGUGACAGGUUUUUAGAUUUAAAAUAAACGCAUGCAAACAUGUCCAAAUUAAUAACCAAUGACACACUGAGGUUUUGUGAAGCAAAAGGAUUGGUUUGUUUAAGA
This is a non-coding RNA of Danio rerio (zebrafish), 1301 nucleotides long. Lineage: Eukaryota; Metazoa; Chordata; Actinopteri; Cypriniformes; Danionidae. The record is from RefSeq and is a predicted model, not a curated record.